AAGUUAAUGAUUUAAAUCCUGAGGUAGGAUGUGUUAUUAUGUUGCGACACUUGAAAGUUUUAUUGUGUCUAUCAUUUUUGGGUUUGGUAAAACUCUGUUAUGAUGAUGCUUAUUUUGGCUUGCUAGUUUCUUCAUUUUCUUAAAUUUUUGGUGUUUUCAAGGACUGCUGCUGUUUGCGUAUGUCAAUUAUGGAUAUCUUUAUAAUAUCCUGUUUUAUACCAUGAUUAAGGAGACCACAUCAUCUAUACGACUGUUUUGCUUAGCAACCAUGUUGCUUAUUCACUUAACAGCAAUUUUUGCAAAAAUAACACUCUGUCUUAUGUUAACGGGUCAUGAUAUAGGUCUCAUUUCCUUGCUUGCAUUAUUGAUAUCAUAGUUCAUAAAAAUAUGCCAUGAAUCU
RNAcentral lists this unclassified non-coding RNA (400 nucleotides) under Hevea brasiliensis (rubber tree). The record is from RNAcentral. Lineage: Eukaryota; Viridiplantae; Streptophyta; Magnoliopsida; Malpighiales; Euphorbiaceae.